RNAcentral lists this ribosomal RNA (354 nucleotides) under Triticum aestivum (bread wheat). RNAcentral's name for it is "partial small subunit ribosomal RNA". The record is from RNAcentral. Lineage: Eukaryota; Viridiplantae; Streptophyta; Magnoliopsida; Poales; Poaceae.
AUGGAAAACAAGGCCUCUCAGCCUACAGAAGAUGGACAAGAAUCAAACUCUCCGACCAAGGCUGUAGCUGAAGUGCUUGCUAACCACACUAAGAAGCCAAGGUUUCUUCAGCAUGUGGGGAUCCAGCAUGUCCAUGCGAGAUCUAGCGAUAGCAACUGUCAAGCAGAAUUGGCAAAGAGGGGCAAUGUCGAGCUUCGGGCUCUUGUUGACACCUUGACCAAGCAGUUGAAGGAGUCCAAAGAAGCAAGGAUCAGGCAAGACGAGGAGCACAGGAAGAGAGAUGAGAAGAAUAGGAAGAAGCAAGCUGAGAUGGAUGCAAAACUAGACUUUUUGCUAAGUCAGUUGCAAAUGUAA